AGUUCGAUUCUGGCUCAGAUUGAACGCUGGCGGGAUGCUUUUACACACAUGCAAGUCGAACGGCAGCACGGACUUCGGUCUGCGGCGAGUGGCGAACGGGUGAGUAAUGUAUCGGAACGUGCCUAGUAGCGGGGGAUAACUACGCGAAAGCGUAGCUAAUACCGCAUACGGCCCUUCGGGGGAAAGCGGGGGACCUUCGGGCCUCGCACUAUUAGAGCGGCUUUGCUAUCGGAUUAGCUAGUUGGUGGGUAACGGCUCACCAAGGCGACGAUCCGUAGCUGGUUUGAGAGGACGACCAGCCACACUGUUGGGACUGGAGACACGCCCAGACUCUACGGGAGGCAGCAGUGGGGAAUUUUGGACAAUGGGGGAAACCCUGAUCCAGCCAUCCCGCGCCAGGGUGAUGAAGGCUCUCGGGUUGUAAAGCACUUUGGCAGGAAAGAAACGGCACGGGAUAAUACCCCGUGCAACUGACGGUACCUGCAGAAUAAGCACCGGCUAACUACGUGCCAGCAGCCGCGGCAUUACGUAGGGUGCAAGCGUUAAUCGGAAUUAAUAAAGCGGUAAAGCGCGCGGCAGGCGGUUCGGAAAGAAAGAUGUGAAAUCCCAGAGCUUAACUUUGGAACUGCAUUUUUAACUACCGAGCUAGAGUGUGUCAGAGGGAGGUGGAAUUCCGCGUGUAGCAGUGAAAUGGCGUAGAUAUGCGGAGGAACACCGAUGGCGAAGGCAGCCUCCUGGGAUAACACUGACGCUCAUGCACGAAAGCGUGGGGAGCAAAAUGGGAUUAGAUACCCUGGUAGUCCACGCCCCAACGAUGUCAAUCCAGCUGUUACAGCCUGGUAGCGCAGCUAACGCGUGAAGUUGACCGCCUGGGGAGUACGGUCGCAAGAUUAAACUCCAAAGAAUGACGGGGACCCGCACAAGCGUGGAUGAUGUGGAUUAAUUCGAUGCACCGCGAAAACUCAUUCACCUUGACAUAAUCGAACUCGAAGAGAUUUGGGAGUGCUCGCAAGAGAACCGGAACACAGGUGCUGCAUGGCUGUCGCUUGUGCUCGUGUCGUGAGAUGCUGGGUUAAGUCCCGGCAACGAGCGCAACCUUGUCAUUAGUUGCCACGGCAUGUUGACUUCGGCAUCGAGACCGGGCGCACGAAAUCGGGAGACAGGGAUGACGUCAAGUCCUCAUGGCCUCUUAUGGGUAGGGCUUCUACACGUCAUACAAUGGUCGGGACAGAGGGUCGCCAACCCGCGAUGGGAGCCAAUCCCCAGAAACCCGAUCGUAGUCCGGAUCGCAGUUCGCAACUCGACUGCGUGAAGUCGGAAAUCGCUAGUAAUCGCGGAUCAGCAUGUCGCGGUGAAUACGUUCCCGGGUCUUGUACACACCGCCCGUCACACCAUGGGAGUGGGUUUUACCAGAAGUAGUUAGCCUAACCGGAGGCGAUCAUCACGGUAGGAUUCAUGAUCAGCGUGAAGCCGUAACAAGGUAG
Molecule: ribosomal RNA, 1484 nt
Filed under: uncultured Bordetella sp.
Lineage: Bacteria; Pseudomonadati; Pseudomonadota; Betaproteobacteria; Burkholderiales; Alcaligenaceae
Description: partial 16S-23S ribosomal RNA intergenic spacer
Rfam family: Bacterial small subunit ribosomal RNA
Source: RNAcentral